GAAGGUGGCAAGCGUUAUUCGGAUUUACUGGGCGUACAGGGAGCGUAGGCGGUUCGGUAAGCCCUCUGUGAAAUCUCCAGGCUUAACCUGGAACAGUCGGAGGGGACUGCUGGGCUAGAGGACGGGAGAGGAGCGCGGAAUUCCCGGUGUAGCGGUGAAAUGCGUAGAGAUCGGGAGGAAGGCCGGUGGCGAAGGCGGCGCUCUGGAACGUUUCUGACGCUGAGGCUCAAAAGCGUGGGGAGCAAACAGGAUUAGAUACCCUGGUAGUCCACGCCUUAAACUAUGAAUACUAAGUGUCGGCGGGUUACCGCCGGUGCCGCAGCUAACGCAUUAAGUAUUCCGUCUGGGAAGUACGGCCGCAAGGUUG
RNAcentral lists this ribosomal RNA (367 nucleotides) under uncultured bacterium. Its description in RNAcentral is "bacterial SSU rRNA". It matches the Rfam family "Bacterial small subunit ribosomal RNA", at positions 527 to 896 of the family's 1533-position model. The record is from RNAcentral.